AUUGAACGCUGGCGGAAUGCUUUACACAUGCAAGUCGAACGGUAGAGGGGGCAACCCCUCGAGAGUGGCGAACGGGUGAGUAAUAUAUCGGAACGUGCCCAGUCGUGGGGGAUAACGUAGCGAAAGUUACGCUAAUACCGCAUACGAUCUAAGGAUGAAAGCGGGGGAUCGCAAGACCUCGCGCGAUUGGAGCGGCCGAUAUCAGAUUGGGUAGUUGGUGGGGUAAAGGCCCACCAAGCCAACGAUCUGUAGCUGGUCUGAGAGGACGACCAGCCACACUGGAACUGAGACACGGUCCAGACUCCUACGGGAGGCAGCAGUGGGGAAUUUUGGACAAUGGGCGAAAGCCUGAUCCAGCCAUUCCGCGUGCAGGAUGAAGGCCCUCGGGUUGUAAACUGCUUUUGUACAGAACGAAAAGGUUUCUACUAAUACUAGGAGCUCAUGACGGUACUGUAAGAAUAAGCACCGGCUAACUACGUGCCAGCAGCCGCUGUAA
This 496-nucleotide ribosomal RNA is filed under the name uncultured bacterium. RNAcentral's name for it is "partial 16S ribosomal RNA". It matches the Rfam family "Bacterial small subunit ribosomal RNA", at positions 30 to 523 of the family's 1533-position model. The record is from RNAcentral.